UUUAGUUUGGUUACUUCAGCAUGACCUGAUACGUAUCUGCUGCUGUAGGGUAAGAAUCCAUGAUGAGGGCUGAAGUCCACGGACAGUAUUCCCAGCUGUGUAAAUCAGAAUAGCUUUCAGAUCUUAGUGGAGCUACCCUCACUUCAUGAUGGUACAGAUUUGAGUUAUUUCUGUCAUGGUGAUGUUCUCUGCUCUUCAUUUGUGUGAUCCAAGGUGUGAAGACCUGGAAUGUAAGAGUUGUUCUGCUCUUAAACUUCUGUUGGAGUGAAGUGAGGAUCUUUAUGAGAUUGCAGUUCAACUCCUGCUGACUUUUUAAAUGAAUUGGUAAACGCAGAAGAAUGAGGGAAUAUUUGUGAAAUGGAAUGGGAAAACAAACUAUAUAAAAGAAAGAGAAGGUGCAUGCAGGAAGGAUAACGUGGAAGAAUGUGCUGUGUUGCUUCCACUGGGGUCCGCGUGUACUUAUUUGUGGGGUUCUGGAAGCAAGCCUGGAUGAUGGCAGUAUGCUUUCAGUGGUGUAACUGGCAAGCUGAAACUGAGGCACUCUGCAGGGGGCUUCAGCACUGCUUUGUGGCAAUACACAGAUUUGGUGCCGGCUCAUUGGGGCUGCAGCUUUUUGUUCGUAAGAUUUGAGCCCACCUGCCAUGGACAUAUCAUUUCUCUGACUGCUUUCCAAUAUUAUUUUUCCUGGUAUUUUUGGUAUUACUAUUACUGGCAAUUGUGAGUCUCGUGUGUUUUUGGUUUUUGUUUAUUGCAUUUCUUUUUUUGGGGUGGGUGUGUUUAAUUUUGUUUUAAU
This is a long non-coding RNA of Lagopus leucura (white-tailed ptarmigan), 793 nucleotides long. RefSeq lists it as uncharacterized. The record is from RefSeq and is a predicted model, not a curated record. Lineage: Eukaryota; Metazoa; Chordata; Aves; Galliformes; Phasianidae. The transcript is spliced from 3 exons.